UCGAUGGGGAGAAGCAUAGUGUCUGCAUUGUCCAUCCCUUUUGUAGAGAGUAACGAGUGAUGGAGUUAUUCCCGUCCUUGGAUUCAAUAGAUGAACCACGAGAUCUAGGGUUGGCAACAGAGAUUCGAGGCAUGGAGUUUGUUGUUUGAGAGAAGGCAG
Telopea speciosissima is the source of this 159-nucleotide long non-coding RNA. RefSeq lists it as uncharacterized. The record is from RefSeq and is a predicted model, not a curated record. NCBI's taxonomy places the organism in Eukaryota, Viridiplantae, Streptophyta, Magnoliopsida, Proteales, Proteaceae. The transcript has 3 exons.